AUGAGCUCCUGGCGCCCGACCGGCUCGCACGGCUCCCCACCUCGCCGUGGUCGACCCCACGAUGAGCACCCCGGAACCCUUCCCGCUCCGCCGCACUUCGCCGGUAGCCAGGCUCCCCAGAUGUUCCCUGCGGCCGCCGUCGCGAGACAUCUCGCCUCGUUCCAGACUGCUGCCACCUCCAACACGCGCCAACAACCAACCGAUAACACCGAAGCCUGCCACCCUCCUCACCAUCACCGCCCCGCCGACGCCGCCAGCAGGUUCACCGCGCCCUGGCCGCCCACGUUUGCUCCGCCGCGUCCUAGCUUCCCGUCCUGGGCCGCGGCUGUGCGCCCCACCGCGAUGAUCCCACGUGAGACCGGAAGAACCCAUGACGUCUACUCCGGCUGCACGGCAGGGGCGGGCGUCGGGAACACGGUGACUAAUGCAGGCUGCCUGCGCAUGGCAGCGAGCGUCGGGAGCACGGCGGCCGGCGGGGGGCGCAACUUCAUCGUCUCGCCGCUGUCGCUCCACGCGGCGCUCGCGCUGGUGGCCGCUGGCGCCAAGGGCGAGACGCAGCGGGAGCUGCUGGAUUUCCUGGUGGGGCCAGCUGGGUCGUCGCUCGCCGCGCUGCACGGCGACCCGGCGAUCAGACUGGUGGGCAUGCUCCGUGGUCUCGAGCAGACGUCCUUCGCGUGCGGCGUCUGGGUCGCCCAUGGGCGGGCACUCAGGCCGGAGUUCGUGGAGGUCGCCGGCGCUGUCUACGCCGCCGUCGCGGAAUCCGUUGACUUCCGGUCAGAGCCGGAAAAGGCGAGGCAGCAGGUGAACACCUUCGUGAAACACGAAACCAAAGAGCUCAUCGACGAGGUCCUCCCCGCCCGCUCCGUCGACUCGUCCACGGUGGUCGUUCUCGCCAACGCGCUCUACUUCAAAGGGACGUGGGCUCAGCCGUUCGACCCGUCGGCGACCUUCGCCGCGCCGUUCCAUCUCGCCGACGGCACCACCGUGCGCGCACCGUUCAUGACGACGAGCCUGUUUCAGCAGCACGUCGCCGCCUUUCCCGGCUUCAAGGCCCUCAAGCUUCCCUACAAGAACGGCGGCGGCUUCCACCACGUCCACCAAGCCGCGUCAUUCUACAUGCUCCUCCUCGUCCCGGAUCAUAGCGCCGCCCUCGGGCUCGCCGGACUCUACGGCAAGGCCGUCUCGACGCCGGACUUUAUCAGGAGGCACACGCCGGCGGACCAGGUUCCGGUCGGGCGGUUCAUGGUCCCGAAGUUCAGGUUCGAGUUCAAGUUCGAGGCGUCGCGGGAGAUGCAGGAGCUCGGGGUGGCCAGGGCUUUCGGAGGCGGCGACUUCUCCGGCAUGGUGACAGGCGGAAAUGGGCUGCGCAUCUCCGGGGUGUAUCACAAUGCCACCGUCGAGGUGGACGAGCUGGGCACCGUGGCCGCGGCCGCCACCGCCGUGUGCUUGUCGCAGUGCGCAAGCGCGCGGCCUCCCGUGGAUUUCGUGGCGGACCGGCCGUUCCUGUUCGCCAUCGUCGAGGAGAGGACCGGCGUGGCUCUCUUUCUUGGGCACGUGGUGAAUCCUCUGGACGGGUGA
This 1578-nucleotide ribosomal RNA is filed under the name Triticum aestivum (bread wheat). RNAcentral's name for it is "partial small subunit ribosomal RNA". The record is from RNAcentral. Lineage: Eukaryota; Viridiplantae; Streptophyta; Magnoliopsida; Poales; Poaceae.